AUACUGCAGGUCUUGAGUCAUGGUGGGGUUGCCGGAACAUGUGGUGUAGCGGUGAAAUGCAUAGAUAUCACAUAGAACACCGAUCGCGAAGGCAGGUGACCAACCAUGUACUGACGCUGAUGGACGAAAGCGUGGGUAGCGAACGGGAUUAGAUACCCCGGUAGUCCACGCCGUAAACGAUGGAUACUAGCUGUGGGGACUUCGGUCUCCGUGGCCAAGCGAAAGUGAUAAGUAUCCCACCUGGGGAGUACGUUCGCAAGAAUGAAACUCAAAGGAAUUGACGGGGGCCCGCACAAGCGGUGGAGCAUGUGGUUUAAUUCGAUGAUACGCGAGGAACCUUACCAGGGCUUAAAUGCAGGCUGCAUGGGGUAGAGAUACCCCUUUCUUCGGACCGCCUGCAAGGUGCUGCAUGGUUGUCGUCAGCUCGUGCCGUGAGGUGUCAGGUUAAGUCCUAUAACGAGCGCAACCCCUACCGUUAGUUGCCAGCAUGUCAAGAUGGGGACUCUAACGGGACUGCCGGUGCAAACCGUGAGGAAGGUGGGGACGACGUCAAAUCAUCACGGCCCUUACGUCCUGGGCUACACACGUGCUACAAUGGCCGGUACAGAGGGAAGCCACCCCGCAAGGGGGCGCGGAUCUACAAAACCGGUCACAGUUCGGAUCGGGGUCUGCAACUCGACCCCGUGAAGCUGGAAUCGCUAGUAAUCGGAUAUCAGCCAUGAUCCGGUGAAUACGUUCCCGGGCCUUGUACACACCGCCCGUCAAGCCAUGGAAGCCGGGAGUGCCUGAAGUCCGUCACCGAGAGGAGC
This 809-nucleotide ribosomal RNA is filed under the name Flagellimonas marinaquae. RNAcentral describes it as "bacterial SSU rRNA". It matches the Rfam family "Bacterial small subunit ribosomal RNA", at positions 630 to 1453 of the family's 1533-position model. Lineage: Bacteria; Pseudomonadati; Bacteroidota; Flavobacteriia; Flavobacteriales; Flavobacteriaceae. The record is from RNAcentral.